AUAUCCAGUUUGCCUUCUCCCGCUAACGAAAGCUAGUCUGUUCUUUUCAGUUUAAUCUCUGAAACGUGACUACGGUCACAUUCAAGAUUAUUCUUAUUUUUGUAACCAGUGGACGGCUCCCUGGGCUUGCUCAUAGUCGUCCUCACAGUGUCGUCCGUAUUGCACUACCUCGGACUGACGCGAACUUUU
Molecule: small nuclear RNA, 189 nt
Filed under: Bipolaris sorokiniana
Lineage: Eukaryota; Fungi; Ascomycota; Dothideomycetes; Pleosporales; Pleosporaceae
Also listed under: 1 other name
Description: Cochliobolus sativus U2 spliceosomal RNA
Rfam family: U2 spliceosomal RNA
About the family: U2 is a small nuclear RNA (snRNA) component of the spliceosome (involved in pre-mRNA splicing). Complementary binding between U2 snRNA (in an area lying towards the 5' end but 3' to hairpin I) and the branchpoint sequence (BPS) of the intron results the bulging out of an unpaired adenosine, on the BPS, which initiates a nucleophilic attack at the intronic 5' splice site, thus starting the first of two transesterification reactions that mediate splicing.
Source: Rfam by way of RNAcentral